GACGAACGCUGGCGGCGUGCUUAACACAUGCAAGUCGAACGGGCCCGCACCUUUUUUUUGGGGGCGGGUUGAGUGGCGAACGGGUGAGUAUCACGUGAGUAACCUGCCCUCCUCUCCUGGAUAACCGCUUGAAAGGGCGGCUAAUACGGGGUGGUCCGGUUGGUCCGCAUGGGCCGGCUGGGAUAGUUUCAUCUUCGGGUGUUUCGGUGGGGGAUGGGCUCGCGGCCUAUCAGCUUGUUGGUGGGGUGAUGGCCUACCAGGGCGGUGACGGGUAGCCGGCCUGAGAGGGUGGGCGGCCACACUGGGACUGAGACACGGCCCAGACUCCUCGGGAGGCAGCAGUGGGGGGUAUUGCACAAUGGGCGGAAGCCUGAUGCAGCGACGUCGCGUGAGGGAUGGAGGCCUUCGGGUUGUGAACCUCUGUUUCCGGUGGUGAAGGCCCUGCCCU
This 448-nucleotide ribosomal RNA is filed under the name Actinomyces sp. oral taxon 525. Its description in RNAcentral is "bacterial SSU rRNA". It matches the Rfam family "Bacterial small subunit ribosomal RNA", at positions 28 to 460 of the family's 1533-position model. Lineage: Bacteria; Bacillati; Actinomycetota; Actinomycetes; Actinomycetales; Actinomycetaceae. The record is from RNAcentral.